UGAGGAAUACAUCGGGAUUUGCCCAGACGUGGGGGAUAACGUAGGGAAACUUACGCUAAUACCGCAUACGUCCUACGGGAGAAAGCGGGGGAUCAGCAAUGACCUCGCGCGGUUGGAUGAACCGAUGUCUGAUUAGCUUGUUGGUGAGGUAAUGGCUCACCAAGGCGACGAUCAGUAGCUGGUCUGAGAGGAUGAUCAGCCACACUGGGACUGAGACACGGCCCAGACUCCUACGGGAGGCAGCAGUGGGAAUAUUGGACAAUGGGCGCAAGCCUGAUCCAGCAAUGCCGCGUGUGUGAAGAAGGCCUUCGGGUUGUAAAGCACUUUUAUCAGGAGCGAAAUACCAUCGGUUAAUACCUGGUGGGGCUGACGGUACCUGAGGAAUAAGCACCGGCUAACUUCGUGCCCGCAGCCGCGGUAAUACGAAGGGUGCAAGCGUUAAUCGGAAUUACUGGGCGUAAAGCGUGCGUAGGCGGUUGUUUAAGUCUGCUGUGAAAUCCCCGGGCUCAACCUGGGAAUGGCAGUGGAUACUGGGCAGCUAGAGUGUGAUAGAGGAUGGUGGA
RNAcentral lists this ribosomal RNA (563 nucleotides) under uncultured Gammaproteobacteria bacterium. RNAcentral's name for it is "bacterial SSU rRNA". It matches the Rfam family "Bacterial small subunit ribosomal RNA", at positions 107 to 665 of the family's 1533-position model. Lineage: Bacteria; Pseudomonadati; Pseudomonadota; Gammaproteobacteria. The record is from RNAcentral.